This 253-nucleotide ribosomal RNA is filed under the name uncultured bacterium. Its description in RNAcentral is "partial 16S ribosomal RNA". It matches the Rfam family "Bacterial small subunit ribosomal RNA", at positions 524 to 776 of the family's 1533-position model. The record is from RNAcentral.
UACGAAGGGGGCUAGCGUUGCUCGGAAUCACUGGGCGUAAAGGGUGCGUAGGCGGGUCUUUAAGUCAGGGGGGAAAUCCUGGAGCUCAACUCCAGAACUGCCUUUGAUACUGAAGAUCUUGAGUUCGGGAGAGGGGAGUGGAACUGCGAGUGUAGAGGUGAAAUUCGUAGAUAUUCGCAAGAACACCAGUGGCGAAGGCGGCUCACUGGCCCGAUACUGACGCUGAGGCACGAAAGCGUGGGGAGCAAACAGG